GUCGAGAAUCAUCCACAAUGGGCGAAAGCCUGAUGGAGCGACGCCGCGUGGAGGAUAAGGUCUUCAGAUUGUAAACUCCUGUCAUGUGAGAACAAGGUUGCAGGGCUAAUACCUUUGCAAAUUGAUGGUACCACAAGAGGAAGAGACGGCUAACUCUGUGCCAGCAGCCGCGGUAAUACAGAGGUCUCAAGCGUUGUUCGGAAUCACUGGGCGUAAAGGGUGCGUAGGUGGCGUGGCAAGUCAGAUGUGAAAGCCCGGGGCUCAACCUCGGAAUUGCAUCAGAUACUGCCAUGCUAGAGUACUGAAGGGGUGACUAGAAUUCUCGGUGUAGCAGUGAAAUGCGUAGAUAUCGAGAGGAAUACCAACGGCGAAGGCAGGUCACUGGGCAGUUACUGACACUGAGGCACGAAGGCCAGGGUAGCGAACGGGAUUAGAUACCCUAGUAGUCC
RNAcentral lists this ribosomal RNA (449 nucleotides) under uncultured bacterium. RNAcentral's name for it is "bacterial SSU rRNA". It matches the Rfam family "Bacterial small subunit ribosomal RNA", at positions 354 to 796 of the family's 1533-position model. The record is from RNAcentral.